UCGAGAAUCUUCCACAAUGGACGAAAGUCUGAUGGAGCGACGCCGCGUGACUGAUGAAGUCCUUCGGGACGUAAAGGUCUUUUAUGGGGGAGGAAGUAAUUGACGUUACCCCAUGAAUAAGGGGCUCCUAACUCUGUGCCAGCAGGAGCGGUAAUACAGAGGCCCCAAGCGUUAUCCGGAAUCACUGGGCGUAAAGGGUGUGUAGGCGGCUAUGUUAGUCCUUCGUUAAAGCUUUCUGGCUUAACCAGGAAAAUGCGGAGGAAACGGCAUUGGCUUAGAGGGCGCGAGAGGUAUACGGAACUCAUAGUGUAGGGGUGAAAUCCGUUGAUAUUAUGGGGAACACCAAAUGCGAAGGCAGUAUACUGGCGCGUACCUGACGCUGAAACACGAAAGCGUGGGAAUCGAACGGGAUUAGAUACCCGUGUAGUCC
Molecule: ribosomal RNA, 430 nt
Filed under: uncultured bacterium
Lineage: Bacteria
Description: bacterial SSU rRNA
Rfam family: Bacterial small subunit ribosomal RNA
Source: RNAcentral